UACGAAGGGAGCUAGCGUUGUUCGGAAUUACUGGGCGUAAAGAGCGCGUAGGCGGUCUGUAAAGUUAGGAGUGAAAGCCCAAGGCUUAACCUUGGAAAUGCUCUUAAAACUCACAGACUAGAGAUUGGUAGAGGAUGGUGGAAUUCCUAGUGUAGAGGUGAAAUUCGUAGAUAUUAGGAGGAACACCGGUGGCGAAGGCGGCCAUCUGGCCAAUACUGACGCUGAGGCGCGAAAGCGUGGGGAGCAAACAGG
RNAcentral lists this ribosomal RNA (252 nucleotides) under uncultured bacterium. Its description in RNAcentral is "partial 16S ribosomal RNA". It matches the Rfam family "Bacterial small subunit ribosomal RNA", at positions 524 to 776 of the family's 1533-position model. The record is from RNAcentral.